RNAcentral lists this ribosomal RNA (442 nucleotides) under uncultured bacterium. RNAcentral's name for it is "partial 16S ribosomal RNA". It matches the Rfam family "Bacterial small subunit ribosomal RNA", at positions 338 to 795 of the family's 1533-position model. The record is from RNAcentral.
CCUACGGGAGGCUGCAGUAGGGAAUCUUUCACAAUGGGCGAAAGCCUGAUGGAGCAACGCCGCGUGCAGGAUGAAGGCCUUCGGGUUGUAAACUGCUUUUAUAAGCGAGAAAUAUGAUGGUAACUUAUGAAUAAGGAUCGGCUAACUACGUGCCAGCAGCCGCGGUCAUACGUAGGAUCCGAGCAUUAUCCGGAGUGACUGGGUGUAAAGAGUUGCGUAGGUGGGAUAAUAAGUAGCUAGUGAAAUCUGGUGGCUCAACCAUUCAGACUAUUAGCUAAACUGUUAAGCUCGAGACCGUUAGGGGUAACUGGAAUUUCUAGUGUAGGAGUGAAAUCCGUAGAUAUUAGGAGGAACACCAAUAGCGUAGGCAGGUUGCUGGGACGGUUCUGACACUAAGGCACGAAGGCGUAGGGAGCAAACGGGAUUAGAUACCCUAGUAGUC